AAAGAGAGUUCGAACAUACAUGUCAUGUAAGAACUCGAAAGUUGCAAUAUGCAAAGUAGUCCUUUGACCUAAGGCAUCAUAGAUGUCUAAUGGUUAGGUCCUUGAUCUUUGAUCAUGUCAACGGCAUUCCAUCGGAGUGUCCACGGCAUUGUUGGGGUCAAACUAUCUAGUCGUGUAGGUAUAUGAAUGCACAACAAGGGAUCUCUAACCUUCCAUGGUGGAAGGAGAAUACUCUAAGAUAUGAUUCUAAAGUCUUUGGCCAAAGCAUAUGAAUAUGACUUAGGAAGUUUGUUCCAAAUCAUAUUCAAGGGAAUCAUAUAGAUAUGUAUCACAUUGGAUAGUAGACAUGAAACAAACUAUCACUCAAACAAUGUGAUUAAGAGUAUUGUAUUAGAGAAGGACCGUAUUGCAUUGUAGUUGUAACUGGAUAGGUUCUCCAAUCAAUUCUACUUAGCUUGGGUAACCAUGACAUACUGCUAGGUGUCACUCAUGGUUUGUGGAAGCCCUAAUGACUAGCAAACACUAAUCAUAAAGGGAGAAUUGAAAUGUGGUUUCAAUUCACAAUCGAUUGUUAAGAGUAACAAUCGCCCACUACCUCGCUAAUUGGAACCUAAUGGAUCGUACACCGAGUAAGGGCGAUAGUGAAGAAAUUAAAUGAAAUGGAUAAGCAAUUAAAUGGUUUAAUUGAAGAAUGGUCAAGAUUAAUUAAUUAUACGAAAGGUUCGUAUUGGGCUUUUAAGUUGGUUUUGGGUUUCGGG
RNAcentral lists this long non-coding RNA (758 nucleotides) under Malus domestica (apple). RNAcentral describes it as "long non-coding RNA (MDOM_LNC005942)". The record is from RNAcentral. Lineage: Eukaryota; Viridiplantae; Streptophyta; Magnoliopsida; Rosales; Rosaceae.